This 658-nucleotide ribosomal RNA is filed under the name uncultured bacterium. RNAcentral's name for it is "bacterial SSU rRNA". It matches the Rfam family "Bacterial small subunit ribosomal RNA", at positions 62 to 708 of the family's 1533-position model. The record is from RNAcentral.
UCGAACGGUAACAGGAAGCAGCUUGCUGCUUCGCUGACGAGUGGCGGACGGGUGAGUAAUGUCUGGGAAACUGCCUGAUGGAGGGGGAUAACUACUGGAAACGGUAGCUAAUACCGCAUAACGUCGCAAGACCAAAGAGGGGGACCUUCGGGCCUCUUGCCAUCGGAUGUGCCCAGAUGGGAUUAGCUAGUAGGUGGGGUAACGGCUCACCUAGGCGACGAUCCCUAGCUGGUCUGAGAGGAUGACCAGCCACACUGGAACUGAGACACGGUCCAGACUCCUACGGGAGGCAGCAGUGGGGAAUAUUGCACAAUGGGCGCAAGCCUGAUGCAGCCAUGCCGCGUGUAUGAAGAAGGCCUUCGGGUUGUAAAGUACUUUCAGCGGGGAGGAAGGCGAUAAGGUUAAUAACCUUGUCGAUUGACGUUACCCGCAGAAGAAGCACCGGCUAACUCCGUGCCAGCAGCCGCGGUAAUACGGAGGGUGCAAGCGUUAAUCGGAAUUACUGGGCGUAAAGCGCACGCAGGCGGUCUGUCAAGUCGGAUGUGAAAUCCCCGGGCUCAACCUGGGAACUGCAUUCGAAACUGGCAGGCUAGAGUCUUGUAGAAGGGGGGUAGAAUUCCAGGUGUAGCGGUGAAAUGCGUAGAGAUCUGGAGGAAUA